This 942-nucleotide small RNA is filed under the name Mycoplasma leopharyngis. RNAcentral's name for it is "bacterial LSU rRNA". The stretch from base 446 to 942 matches the Rfam family "Bacterial large subunit ribosomal RNA", at positions 1 to 497 of the family's 2925-position model. The record is from RNAcentral. Lineage: Bacteria; Bacillati; Mycoplasmatota; Mollicutes; Mycoplasmatales; Mycoplasmataceae.
CGCCCGUCAAACCAUGGGAGCUGGUAAUGCCCGAAGUCGGUUUAUAAAGAAACUGCCUAAGGCAGGACUGGUGACAGGGGUUAAGUCGUAACAAGGUAUCCCUACGAGAACGUGGGGAUGGAUUACCUCCUUUCUACGGAGUACAAUAUACUAAUUAGAAAGUUAAUUAGUAUCUAACCUACUUAAAAAAUCAGACCUGUUAUUACAAUAUAUAUUUAUGUCAUGUGACUUUUUACAAGGUCGAAGUCUUAUAUCUAGUUUUGAGAGAAUAUCUCUCAUUUGUUCUUUGAAAACUGAAUAGUAAAUUUUUUGAUAUUUACAACGACAUCUAAAUAAAUUAAUUUGGUUAAUUUGUUUUGAUUCAUCGAGUAAUCAUUUAAAUAUGAUUCAUUGAAAUGUCUUAAAAUACACAUCUGUAACAAUCAAUAGGAAAAUACAAAUAUACUUUUAAAUAAGUAAGAGUUUGUGGUGGAUGCCUUGGGUCUGAAAGUCGAUGAAGGACGUGAUUACCUGCGAUAAGCCUCGUGGAGCUGGAAAUGCGCAUUGAAACGGGGAUUUCCGAAUGGGGAAACCUAGCUAGAGUAAUGUCUAGUUGCUUAUUUCUGAAUACAUAGGAAAUAAUGUGAGACACCAUGUGAACUGAAACAUCUUAGUAGCAUGAGGAAAAGAAAAUAAAUAAUGAUUUCUUUAGUAGCGGCGAGCGAAAGAGAAAGAGCCCAAACCACAUUUUGUGGGGUUGUAGGACAGUCUACAUAGAGUUACAAAAUUUAAUAAUAGCAGAAGCUUUUGGGAAGAAGCGGCAUAGAAGGUGAUACCCCUGUAUGCGAAAUUAUUAAAUCUCUUGACUGUAUCCUGAGUAGGGCGGGGCACGUGAAACCCUGUCUGAAUCUGCCGGGACCACCCGGUAAGGCUAAAUACUAAUCAGACACCGAUAGUGAACUA